GCAGGCGUGGCCGAGUGGUUAAAGGCAGCAGACUGUAAAUCUGCCGGCAUAUUGCCUACGGUGGUUCGCACCCAUCCGCCUGCACCA
This 87-nucleotide transfer RNA is filed under the name Acidobacteriota bacterium. Its description in RNAcentral is "Acidobacteria bacterium tRNA-Tyr". It matches the Rfam family "tRNA". From Rfam's summary of the family: Transfer RNA (tRNA) molecules are approximately 80 nucleotides in length. Their secondary structure includes four short double-helical elements and three loops (D, anti-codon, and T loops). Further hydrogen bonds mediate the characteristic L-shaped molecular structure. tRNAs have two regions of fundamental functional importance: the anti-codon, which is responsible for specific mRNA codon recognition, and the 3' end, to which the tRNAs corresponding amino acid is attached (by aminoacyl-tRNA synthetases). tRNAs cope with the degeneracy of the genetic code in two manners: having more than one tRNA (with a specific anti-codon) for a particular amino acid; and 'wobble' base-pairing, i.e. permitting non-standard base-pairing at the 3rd anti-codon position. The record is from RNAcentral. Lineage: Bacteria; Pseudomonadati; Acidobacteriota.